Brassica rapa (field mustard) is the source of this 2188-nucleotide long non-coding RNA. RefSeq lists it as uncharacterized. Lineage: Eukaryota; Viridiplantae; Streptophyta; Magnoliopsida; Brassicales; Brassicaceae. The record is from RefSeq and is a predicted model, not a curated record.
CUACCGGUACAAUUAGAAAAAAAAACCACACGAUGCUUUCUCCUCUAUCUCUUCGUCUUCACCGUUUCCUCUCUAUUGUUUCAGUUCUCUCGAUCCUCAUAUUAUAAAUAUUCGAGUACUAGGUUGCGAUUGGGCAGGUGCUUUUGUCUGUGAGGUGUAAGGAUUAGGAUGGGCAUGGUCACCAUGCUCAUGAGGCUCUGAGGAGGGCUAAGUUUAAGUUCCCUGGUCGUCAAAAGAUUAUCGGCAGCAGGAAAUCAUAUUUAUCAUUUUAUUAUUGGUUUUUGAGGAUCAAAUCCUUUUUAAGAACUUAUCAUGUUUUGUUGCUUUUUUUGCUUUUGUUUAGGGGUUUCACUAAGUUUAACAGAGCAGAUUUCAUGAAGCUGAGGCAAGAGAAGCGUGUUGUUCCUGAUGGUGUUAAUGCUAAGUUCCUCUCAUGCCAUGGACCUUUGGUUAACCGUCAGCCGGGAAGUGCAUUUUUGCCGGCCACCUAUUGAAGUUUCAGAGCUGAAUUAUAGCCAGUCUGAAACUUUAUCCUUGAAAUAUGAUGAGUAAAUCGAGGACUGUGAUGAGUCUGUUGAAAGAGCUAGAAAGCUUAGUCUAGGAACGGAACAGCUCUGCGGAAGAUGGAAAAAGUCUCGACGGACCAUGAACAUAUGAUUCAGACUUACCAGAAAGCUCUUGCAGAGCACCAUAACCCAGACAUGUUGAGGAGUCUGGAUGAGACUGAGAGAAUCUAGAAGGAGUUGGCGCAGAAAGAGUAUUCUGAUCCCAAUAUUGGUGAGGCAGAGCGUGAGAGAGUGAGUUUUUCAAGGAGCGGGAGUAUCAUGAUGCUGUGAGACACCACACUAAAGCGUUAAAAAGAAAUUCAAAAGACCCGAGCGCUAGGGCCUAGGGGAAUGCAAGACCCGGCAAUCCAGAACAUUCUCGCAGAUCCUGUAAUGAGACAGGAAAAUCCACCAACAGCACAAGAACACAUGCAGACCCCGAUGAUCAUGAAGAAAUACAAAAGUAUAUCAACCCAUGAAUUGUCAUGAUGAAAUAGACAUUAAUCCAUAGUUUUUACUUUUUGUAACUCUCGAACUAAACUCAUUCUUCCAUUGUUUCAGGAUAAUCUGAUAUAACAUUUUCCCUAAUAUCAGUUGUGUUUUUAUAAGACAGAUAUUUGAAUUGCUUACAUUAUUGCACAGCCCAAAAGAAAUUCACAAAAAUUCUUCAGUACGUAAGGUUAGUUCUGAACAAGAAAAAUAAAGUGUCUUCACCAGCAACUUUUCAUCCUUGGACGAAAAGACCAGAGGAAAAUGCAAGCUCUUGGUUUUGUUAUGAAUCGUUAUGAGAUUCAAUAUUACAAAGACCAUAAACUAAAUGAUUAUUAAUAACUCAUACCUCUUCCAGUAACAAUCUCAAAUAAUAAACAAUAACAACUAUUGAAAGCUUGGAAGAAAAAAGUACGAUACAAGUUUUGCAGGAGGUAGGUUUGGAGAAGCCAUUGGUGUCAUUUGAAAAACCUAAGUUUGAUAGCGAAGAGCUUAUGAGUACUAUAUCUAAAGUAAAAGUCCAUAGAAUAAGUUGGAACUCUGUUGAAUCAACGAACUUUGAUGUUAAGAUCCACUAAAUCAAAGCAAUGGCUAGACAAGCCCGGGAGAUAGAAGCUGGUUAAGGAGGAGUUUUGGGAAGUGAUUCUGAACCGACCAAAAGUAUCAAGAUCUCGAAUAAUAUCCCUAUGGAAAGAUCAAGCUGCAAGGAAUCCAUAGAAAGAUACCGUGUUCAAAUCAAAGUGUGUAUGUAGGCUACUUUGGAGGUGGUUUCCGCCGAGAUAUAAGGAAACUGGAUCACAUUAAGGUUAUAUAUGGAAAUAUCCUAUUGCAGAGAGCUCACUAGAUCAAUCGAAUUAUGAAUAUAAGUUAUAAACAAUUCGUAUUUCACCUUCAAAGUUGGACCAGAAACAUCUGAAUCUGCAGAAACAGAGAAAACUUUUCUGUAACAGCAUCUUUAGGAGAUUGUUUGACAAGGUAAACAUAUCCUGAUCGAUUUGAAAUUUUGUAUACAUACUCAUGGCAUAUCAGGAUUCACGAUCAACGGUGGGAUUUAGGAGUGAAAGGUUCGUUUGUUAAUUAUUCAUGUCUACUUGAGCCUGUUUGAUACAGUAUAAAACAGUGUGACAUGUAUGACAAAUGUGAUGUUUGGUUAG